GGUUGCGAUCAUACCAGCACUAAUGCACCGGAUCCCAUUAGAACUCCGCAGUUAAGCGUGCUUGGGCGAGAGUAGUACUAGGAUGGGUGACCCCCUGGGAAGUCCUCGUGUUGCAACCCC
This 120-nucleotide ribosomal RNA is filed under the name Helianthus annuus (common sunflower). RNAcentral also lists the same sequence under 1 other name. The record is from RNAcentral. Lineage: Eukaryota; Viridiplantae; Streptophyta; Magnoliopsida; Asterales; Asteraceae.